Molecule: long non-coding RNA, 674 nt
Organism: Fukomys damarensis (Damara mole-rat)
Lineage: Eukaryota; Metazoa; Chordata; Mammalia; Rodentia; Bathyergidae
Exons: 3
Source: RefSeq, a predicted model, not a curated record
GGGGCAAAGGUGCAAAUGCCUCUGCCUUCCAGAGAACCGCGGCCUACGCCUGUGGCCAGCAGGAACAAUCGCCGUGCAGUGACCUAGGCUGUGUUCCGGGCGCAGGGUCAGGCUGCUGGGCACACUUGGAAGACUGUGCAGAGGCCCCAGAGCAGAGAUGCAAAGGCAGCUCGGACACCACGCACAGGUGGAGUUCCAAAGGGCAUAGCGGGGCUCAUGAGGUGACCACUGGGAUGAAGAAUAUUCCAGGCUGCGGGCAUCGUUUGUCUGAAAGUGUAAAAGCUCAGGACAAUAUUUCAAACUGAUCCUGAGAAGUAGCGUGAGGAGCAAGGCACUGGAGCCAGAAGAGAGCCCAGAUGUUGUCUUUGGAUGAGAGACUUACUCAAUCUUCCGUUGGAAAGGGGCUUGCAGUGCCGAUUCACAGAAUAGCUGUCCUGAUUGGUGACACUCAGUGUCAAGAACCUGGUUUCUCCUGCCUGGACAGUUAAUCCUGCCCACUGUCUUCACCUGGAAAACUCUGGUUUUACAACGGAUGCAGGGGGCUACAGGCCUGGCUGUUGUGUCUCCUCUUGAGGUCCAGCCCUCUUAAGAUUCACCUCCAGCCACAGCACAGUGUAAAGUGCAACUCACAUGGGAGCAGACAUUCCGUAUUCACCCGAUCUUCAGAAGUGGGC